ACCUGAUCCAAUAACAUAACACCAGCAACUUUAACAGCAACCAACAAUAAUCUCGAUCAACAAAAAAAACCCAGCAAUAUAACGACAACAAUAACUUCAACUGACGGCGUUAGCAGCAAAAAACUACUCCAGCAACGUCAACAUCGACGUUAACAGCGACUAAAUCCCCAGCCCGUAACUGAGGCAGCAAAACAACCUGUCAAGAACCCGAUUGUUCCGACCCGAUAUUGAUACCUCAUCCUCGUUUGAAUUUUGAAUUGUAAAUUCGUACAAGAAUGGUACGAUUCUAGCUUCCACAUCACUAACCUUAUCUCUAAUUUGAAAUCCCCAAAAGACCCCUGAAUUUCUACUCCCACAUCGUUAAAAUUAGUUUUCCAAUUUUUAGUUUCCUCUAUAAAUACUACUUCGAAUUCGCUGGGGAGGGGGUUUUUUGAGAACGACAAAGGGGCUACGAAUUCUCUUUACUCGACUAGGAUUUUGGACUUCGGUCCCUAGCCUGGAGUUAUGGGAAUUUUAGCUCAGUCUUUUAAAUAUUCUUGUUGUUUUGGAAUCAAAAAAGUUGGUGAAGUCAUCGUGAACUCAUCGUCCCGAUUCACUGCCCGGAAGAAGAUAUACAUCAAAUAUACAUGGAAUAGGCUGCUAUACACUUAUAUACGAUUUAUAUACAUUGUGACGAAGAAGCUAUACACCAUAAUGAAGUUGGAAGCAAAUAUAUGGAUUCAUAUACAUACAUAUACCGCAUAUACACGGGAAAAUGCAAGGAUAAAGAAAGUUGAUUUACAGAGGAUAUACAGCUGGAAAAAGGGUUGAAAAAAGGUCCAUUAAAAUGGGCCCAAUGCUGGACAGAAUAGAAAAUGGGCUAAAAAGGGUCCCAAUUCUCAUAUUUUGCUUUAUUUGCUUGUAUUUAUUUGAUUAUUUUCUUGUAAUUUAAUUUAAUUUUGAUGAACCCUCGGGGAUAAGUUUAAAAUUAAAUUAUUUCAUUUUAUUUUGGUCA
Molecule: long non-coding RNA, 994 nt
Organism: Capsicum annuum
Lineage: Eukaryota; Viridiplantae; Streptophyta; Magnoliopsida; Solanales; Solanaceae
Exons: 2
Source: RefSeq, a predicted model, not a curated record